GUGUUCGUCCAUUUGGAGUUUCUUUACUUAUUUGUGGUUGGAAUGAGGGACGACCAUAUUUAUUUCAGUCAGAUCCAUCUGGAGCUUACUUUGCCUGGAAAGCUACAGCAAUGGGAAAGAACUAUGUGAAUGGGAAGACUUUCCUUGAGAAAAGAUAUAAUGAAGAUCUGGAACUUGAAGAUGCCAUUCAUACAGCCAUCUUAACCCUAAAGGUUAGCUCAGGCAAAUGACAGAGGAUAACAUAGAAGUUGGAAUCUGCAAUGAAGCUGGAUUUAGGAGGCUUACUCCAACUGAAGUUAAGGAUUACUUGGCUGCCAUAGCAUAACAAUGAAGUGACUGAAAAAUCCAGAAUUUCAGAUAAUCUAUCUACUUAAACAUGUUUAAAGUAUGUUUUGUUUUGCAGACUUUUUGCAUACUUAUUUCUACAUGGUUUAAAUCGACUGUUUUUAAAAUGACACUUAUAAAUCCUAAUAAACUGUUAAACC
Molecule: long non-coding RNA, 485 nt
Filed under: Homo sapiens (human)
Lineage: Eukaryota; Metazoa; Chordata; Mammalia; Primates; Hominidae
Description: HSALNT0121821
Source: RNAcentral